CUGCUAAUACCGCAUAAGCGCACAGUAUCGCAUGAUACAGUGUGAAAAACUACCGGUGGUACAAGAUGGACCCGCGUCUGAUUANCUAGUUGGUAAGGUAACGGCUUACCAAGGCGACGAUCAGUAGCCGACCUGAGAGGGUGACCGGCCACAUUGGGACUGAGACACGGCCCAAACUCCUACGGGAGGCAGCAUG
This 196-nucleotide ribosomal RNA is filed under the name uncultured bacterium. Its description in RNAcentral is "partial 16S ribosomal RNA". It matches the Rfam family "Bacterial small subunit ribosomal RNA", at positions 160 to 353 of the family's 1533-position model. The record is from RNAcentral.